RNAcentral lists this long non-coding RNA (619 nucleotides) under Anser cygnoides (Swan goose). RNAcentral describes it as "lncRNA (ENSACDG00005015662.1)". The record is from RNAcentral. Lineage: Eukaryota; Metazoa; Chordata; Aves; Anseriformes; Anatidae.
GUUUAUGAAUGUGUUUGGCAAAAAAUGUAAUAGUGAAUAAAACUGGGUUAAACCCAAAUGUACAUAUAUACGUAUACAUGUAUAUAAAAUUAAACAGAUAUUCUGUUCAUAAAAAAUUAACAGCCUCCAUUUGAUCCUAGAAGCACAGAAAAGCACCCUCAGCUUUUCACAUGUGACAAAGGCCACUGCCAGUGGGCACGCUGUGUUUCUGCUCAGUGCAGCUGUGAACUGAACUCAGCUGUUUUCUGCCUGGGAAGCUCACGCGAUCCAGUAACACGGGGCAAUGUGUGUUUCCAGUUUCUGAAUGCUAUGCGGAAGGGCUGUGCCUCGGCAGGGCAGCACCUGCUGCCAGGUACACCUCCAGCAGGAGGGCAGGAGCAGGGCCCUGUGGCAGCCCUCAGUGAGGGAAGGUCUCUGGGCUUCUUGCUGCAGCGAGCUGGAGGCUCUGGAAAGGAAGCAGGCCCUGAGGAGGAGGAUUUGGUUAUGGAGCUGUGGAGAGACAUCUCAACUGAUAUUAAGACUUGGUCUGCUUCAGGGGCUGGAGACUCGUCGUCUUAGCAGUCCAGAUGGAAGGCACGUCUUGAAGCCCUUGUUCCAGCAGAAAAUCAUUGUAUUGUGA